Molecule: ribosomal RNA, 765 nt
Filed under: uncultured Streptococcus sp.
Lineage: Bacteria; Bacillati; Bacillota; Bacilli; Lactobacillales; Streptococcaceae
Description: bacterial SSU rRNA
Rfam family: Bacterial small subunit ribosomal RNA
Source: RNAcentral
GAUGAACGCUGGCGGCGUGCCUAAUACAUGCAAGUAGAACGCUGAAGCUUGGUGCUUGCACCGAGCGGAUGAGUUGCGAACGGGUGAGUAACGCGUAGGUAACCUGCCUCUUAGCGGGGGAUAACUAUUGGAAACGAUAGCUAAUACCGCAUAAAAGUCGAUAUCGCAUGAUGUUGAUUUGAAAGGUGCAAUUGCAUCACUAAGAGAUGGACCUGCGUUGUAUUAGCUAGUUGGUGAGGUAACGGCUUACCAAGGCGACGAUACAUAGCCGACCUGAGAGGGUGAUCGGCCACACUGGGACUGAGACACGGCCCAGACUCCUACGGGAGGCAGCAGUAGGGAAUCUUCGGCAAUGGGGGCAACCCUGACCGAGCAACGCCGCGUGAGUGAAGAAGGUUUUCGGAUCGUAAAGCUCUGUUGUAAGAGAAGAACGAGUGUGAGAGUGGAAAGUUCACACUGUGACGGUAACUUACCAGAAAGGGACGGCUAACUACGUGCCAGCAGCCGCGGUAAUACGUAGGUCCCGAGCGUUAUCCGGAUUUAUUGGGCGUAAAGCGAGCGCGGGCGGUUAGAUAAGUCUGAAGUUAAAGGCUGUGGCUUAACCAUAGUACGCUUUGGAAACUGUUUAACUUGAGUGCAGAAGGGGAGAGUGGAAUUCCAUGUGUAGCGGUGAAAUGCGUAGAUAUAUGGAGGAACACCGGUGGCGAAAGCGGCUCUCUGGUCUGUAACUGACGCUGAGGCUCGAAAGCGUGGGGAGCAAACAGG